Molecule: unclassified non-coding RNA, 410 nt
Filed under: Nematolepis squamea
Lineage: Eukaryota; Viridiplantae; Streptophyta; Magnoliopsida; Sapindales; Rutaceae
Description: partial external transcribed spacer
Source: RNAcentral
GUGCAUCGAACUGCCGACUCCCCACCCGCUUCAGUCUUUACCCAAGGGAACUCCUUCCUUGUGGGUGCGAUGGUAUCCUGUGUUGCUUACCCAUGAAAUGGAAUUCGAUGGCUUUGUUGUGUUGAUCUGUCGUGUGCCUUUUGGGGUGCGGGGCGGACUUGAGGCGGGCUCUGUAUUCCCGGUGUGCCUAGCGUGUUAUCGCUUGGUCAUUGCGGCCUAUGGAGUCUCGCUUGUUCUCUCGGAUGCGGAAUGCUACGCAUGGGCGUGAGGUCUAGGCCUCGAUUCGUCCAAGCACUGUCCCUUGACUUGAAUGACUGCUGCGCCUGUCUUGAUCUUCCCGACCAAGGCCUCGUAAUGGGGCUUACUGGACGAGGGUUGCUCAUGCAGGCGUUGGCGUCAAAGAGGAAUGC